This 484-nucleotide ribosomal RNA is filed under the name uncultured bacterium. Its description in RNAcentral is "partial 16S ribosomal RNA". It matches the Rfam family "Bacterial small subunit ribosomal RNA", at positions 28 to 523 of the family's 1533-position model. The record is from RNAcentral.
GAUGAACGCUGGCGGCGUGCUUAACACAUGCAAGUCGAACGGUGAAGCAGGAGCUUGCUCUUGUGGAUCAGUGGCGAACGGGUGAGUAACACGUGAGCAACCUGCCCCUGACUCUGGGAUAAGCGCUGGAAACGGCGUCUAAUACUGGAUAUGUGAUGUGACCGCAUGGUCUGCAUCUGGAAAGAAUUUCGGUUGGGGAUGGGUGCGCGGCCUAUCAGCUUGUUGGUGAGGUAAUGGCUCACCAAGGCGUCGACGGGUAGCCGGCCUGAGAGGGUGACCGGCCACACUGGGACUGAGACACGGCCCAGACUCCUACGGGAGGAAGCAGUGGGGAAUAUUGCACAAUGGGCGGAAGCCUGAUGCAGCAACGCCGCGUGAGGGAUGACGGCCUUCGGGUUGUAAACCUCUUUUAGCAGGGAAGAAGCGAAAGUGACGGUACCUGCAGAAAAAGCACCGGCUAACUACGUGCCAGCCGCCGCCGUAA